GGGGAUUGAAAAGGGACACUUUACCAAUGAACUUUAUCCCCAGCCUUUUUUUUUUUUUUUAAUUCUGAGACAGGUAUUUGCUAUGUUGCUGAGGUUGGCCUUGAACUUGAGAUCCUUCUGCCUCAGUCUUCUGAGUAACUGGGAUUAUAGACAUGUGCCACCUUGCCCAGCUCUGUGAGAUAUAAUGUUACAUUUUGUUUUGGUUCUUGGAACCACUGAGCCAUAUCCUUAGUCUUUAAUUUUAAUUUUUAAGACAGGAUCUGGCUAAAUUGCCCAGAUUGUCCUCAAACUUGCAAUCCUCCUAUCUCACCCUCCUGAGUUGCUUGGCUUACAGGUUUGUGCCACUGGGCCUGGCUAUUGUUAUUUGUUUUGUUUUGAUUUUGGAGACAGGUCUCACACAUUGUUUCUGUUUGUUUUGUUUUGGUACCAGAGGCUCCUGGAGGGUGACAGGCUGUGUCCCACAGAUGCCAGAUGCAGGUGACAUUGCAGGUAUGCCUAGGCCCUCUUUGAAACUCUUCAGAGGGAUUUGUGUGAGCAGUUUGGCUUGACCAAAGAAGUGGAAUACAGAGCUGUAGGAUAAGUUGUUUUGAGGUUAAGAAACAGUUAUCAAAAUGCCAGUGCUAUGCUGGACUAGCCUAAUGGCAGGACUUGUUUGGCCUGGCUAUUAUUUUGAAUUAGCCUUUUGUAUUAUAAAAUCAGAGGAUUUUCCCCACAAGCACUCGGUUUCCUAUUUUUCUAGAAAAAUCAAAGCUGGCAACAGGAUGAUUGGGGCUGUGAACCCUGUCAGUCUGGCUUCAUAGCCUGAGCCCAGCUAAUGUGGGACUGCUCUGCCCAGAGUUAAGAUCCUUCAUAUGGGUCUGAAGAGGCUUUUACACUUAGCACUGGCUGCCUGUUGCUCCACAGGAAGACAAGCCCAGAGUUCUCUGAUUGUUCCACAAAGAAGCAGAAUUUGUAUAUGGAAUAGCACAGCUUUCUUUCUUUCUUUCUUUUUUUUUUUUUGGUUUUUGUUUUUGGUAAAAGUGAUUGAACCUAGGGGUGCCUAACCACUGAGCCACAUCCCCAGCCCUUUUUGUAUUUUAGAGACAGUGUCUCACUGAAUUGCUCAUGCUUUGCCAAAUUGCUGGGGCCGGCUUUGAACUUGAGAUCCUCCUGCCUUAGCCUCCUGAGCAGCCCAGUUGAAAUAGCACAACUUAUUUUCUUUUUUGUGUGUGUAAUUCUGGGAAUUGAACCCAGGGCCUUGUACAUACAAGGCAAGCACUCUACCAACUGAGCUACAUCUCCAGCCAUGAAAUGGCACAAUUUUCUACAAUGUUGUUGCAAACUUGUUUGAAACCAUGCAGGCAAAAUAAAGUACAUCCGUGGGCCAUAUUUGGCCUAUAAACCACCAAAUUGUGGGUUAUAGAAUUUCCCUUUGCACAAGCUGUGGGGAUAAAGGAAACUAUUUUUGCAUGGGCCUGGCCCUGUUCAUCUUGAUUCUCUCUCAUGUUCUUUUCAUUUUUGAAUUUUAUGAUCCCAGAAACCUUGGUAUUUUCUUAAUCUGAAAACAGAAUACCUCAAAUUUCCCCCAUAAUAUUAACUCGGAUUAUUUUCUUUACAUAGAGAUCCACCUGUACUAAUUCUGAGGUUACUCAUCCUCAGGGAGGGAUGUCAAGCAUUUAAAGCAAAAGGAUGGGGCGUAUGGUGAAUGCCUGUAAUUCCAGCAGCUUGGGAGGCUGAGGCAAGAGGAUCACGAAUUCCAAGCUGGCCUCAGCAAGAGGCUCCUGGAGGGUGACAGGCUGUGUCCCACAGAUGCCAGAUGCAGGUGACAUUGCAGGGAGGAAUGUCAAGCAUUUAAAGCAGAAGGAUCGGGUGUAUGGCGAAUGCCUGUAAUUCCAGCAGCUUGGGAGGCUGAGGCAAGAGGAUCACGAAUUCCAAGCUGGCCUCAGCAAGGUGAGGUGCUAAGCAACUUGUUGAGACCCUGUGUUAAAAAAAAAAAAAAAAAAGUAAAAGGUGGGGCGGAAGGGAGGGGGCAUGGGUUAGAAAUGAUGGUGGAAGGUGAUGAUCAUUAUUAUCCAAAGUAUAUGUAUGAAGACAUGAAUUCAUGUAAAUAUACUUUGUAUACAACCAGAGAUAGGAAAAAUUGUGCUCUAUAUGUGUAAUAAUUGUAAUGCAUUCCACUGUCAUAUAUAAAUAAAAAAAAAUUUAAAAAAAACACCAAAAAAUGAAGCCCAUCUAGGGAUGUGUUUCAGUGGUUGAGUGCCCCUGAGUCCAAUGCUUGGAACAACAACAACAAAAAAAGGCAGAAGGAAAAGGGACCCAAUGCGUCCCCUGAACAUCUCUUCUUUGCUGUGUGAUUUUUUUGUUUGUUUUUGCUGUGCUUGGGUUUGAUGGCACCCAGGGCCUUGUCCAGCACAUUCUAGGCAAACCCUCUACUGCUGAGCUAUUCCUCUAACACUGCCCCCCACCUUUUUUUUUUUUUUUUUCUUUUGACGAAAUACUUGCCUUUCAAGGGUUUUAGGACCAAUUGCCUCAUUCUUUUGGAAGGGUUGCUGGUGGCUGAGUAUGAAGAUUUCUUACUGGGGACAAGGGCGGAUGCAGUGGCAUUGUGUGGGACAUUGUGGACUGUCAUGUGAGGGUGCAGGGUAGAAGCUGAGUGGCUCAGAUCCCUCCUACCUGUCCUGUGUCCUCUGGUUGCCCUACAAGGAUGGCGCCCUGAAAGUCCCUUCUGAAAGUCCCUUCUGAAAGUCCCUUGGCUAAUUCUCCCCUCUCCCUUGUUCAGAGGUUUGGACACCAGGUAACCAAAUCCAAGACGGUGCAUCUUUAGCAGUCAUAAAGCCACCAGUCAUGAUGCUGCCAUCUUCUGUCCCACCUAGGGACCUUAUCUCUUGCUGCUAUCAUUUUUUUUUUUUUUUUUUUUUGGUGUGUGUGUGGUGCUGGGGAUUGAACUCAGGGCCUUGUGCAUGCAAGGCAAAGCACUCGGCCAACUGAGCUGUAUCCCCAGCCCUCUUGCAGCUGCCUUUACUUUCCAUGGAUUUCCCUGAGCGGCUCCCCAUAGUCACCUUCUCAGAGGGGCUUUCCCUUGAUUGAAUUAGUCCUCCUCCCAACUCCACCGCCUCUCAAUCUCAGACCUGCUUGAUUGUCUUCUAGGAAACGGUACUACCGUCCUUUCCUCUAGAUUGUAGGCUCCCCGUCCCCACGUUCCAGAAAUCUCCCCACCCCUGCCACCCGACCAGCGCAGUCCCGCUUAGCAAAGCGCUUGCACCCUACCCCACGCUGGCUUGGGUCGCAGGGCGCAGGGAUCCCCUAAGGCAGAUGCCUCCAAGACGCCUCGGUGCUGGCGGCAAAGGGGCGCCACUGCUCCUCCCGGGCGCAAACUCCCGCACUGCAUAGUACUGAGUGUGCUUUACUCCUUACUCAUAAGGGCAGGAACAGAUCAAGUAAGAGGGCGUGGUCGUGGGAUAGGUGGAGCCUUGCUCCAGGAAGUCGUUUGGUGGACGGGGUCUGAAGGGAGAUGCCAGUGGGAGGGUUGAGCAUAUUCCAGGUUAGGGGCAUGACUUGUGGUGGGCGGGUCCUGUGUGCUGACCAACAUCCCCGCGAACUACAAAUUGGUGAGGUUGCCUCGGAGCUCCUGCGCAUCCUCCAAAGCCUUGAACAGCGAGUUGAAGUUG
This is a long non-coding RNA of Marmota monax (woodchuck), 3647 nucleotides long. RefSeq lists it as uncharacterized. The transcript is spliced from 3 exons. The record is from RefSeq and is a predicted model, not a curated record. Lineage: Eukaryota; Metazoa; Chordata; Mammalia; Rodentia; Sciuridae.